CUAUUAAGUGUAAUACUGAAAUGCUGAGCUGUAGAAAAUAUAUGAUAUGGAUUUAAUGUCUAAAACAGAGUUUUGUGAGCUCCAUGAAGCGGAGUACAUGGAGGUCCUCCUGCAUAUCUCGGUCCGUUGGCUAAGCCUUGAACGUUGUGUGACCAGGAUCCUGAGGCUGUAUGAACCUCUGGCCAGCUACUACAAAUCUGCUAAUGAAAAUCAGGCCAGGUUCAAGAGACUUGUGCAGACAUUCACUGACCCCAUGACAGAAGUGUACCUGCUGUUCUUCCAAGCCACCGUACCAACUUUCACUUCUUUCAACUUGCUGCUUCAGAGAGAGCAGUCAUCAAUAUUUUUGUUACAUGAUGAGAUGGUGAAAUUCGUACGCAAGCUAUGUUCA
Coregonus clupeaformis (lake whitefish) is the source of this 391-nucleotide long non-coding RNA. RefSeq lists it as uncharacterized. The record is from RefSeq and is a predicted model, not a curated record. Lineage: Eukaryota; Metazoa; Chordata; Actinopteri; Salmoniformes; Salmonidae. The transcript is spliced from 3 exons.